RNAcentral lists this ribosomal RNA (243 nucleotides) under uncultured bacterium. RNAcentral describes it as "partial 16S ribosomal RNA". It matches the Rfam family "Bacterial small subunit ribosomal RNA", at positions 28 to 271 of the family's 1533-position model. The record is from RNAcentral.
GACGAACGCUGGCGGCGUGCUUAACACAUGCAAGUCGAGCGGUAAGGCCCUUUCGGGGGUACGACGAGCGGCGAACGGGUGAGUAACACGUGGGUGACCUGCCCUCAGCUCUGGGAUAAGCCUGGGAAACUGGGUCUAAUACCGGAUAUGACUCCAUGACGCAUGUUGUGGGGUGGAAAGCCUUGUGCGGCUGAGGAUGGGCCCGCGGCCUAUCAGCUUGUUGGUGGGGUGAUGGCCUACCAA